CGUGCGGCCUCUGCCUGCGCUGGUUGGUUUUGUGGAGCUCCGUACACGUGCGGGGUGACUUGAAAAUAAGGCAUUUUUCACCUUCCUGAAGAGAAGAGAGUGACAGUGUGUAUGUGGAAUUGUCAGGUGCCUUCACCUGAAUGAGAAAUCUGUUUGCAUCAGGACUUCAGAUCUCUAACAGCCUGGUGUCACACAUAGCAAAGACAUUUACGUUCUGGUGAGAGACUUAAGAAUGCUGGGAAUUGAACUCAAGGCCUGAUGCAUGCUAGAUAAGCAUUCUACCACUUACCUGUACAUCUAGCCCUAAAUCUUCUGUUUCAAGGUAUUGGGGAUCAAACUGAAGACCUUGCAGAUUUUAGGCAAGCACUUUACCAUUGAGCUGCUGCCCGCACUCCCAGUCCCCCCAGUCCUUUACCCAAAAACUUCUUACUUUGAAACAUGUAUGAAAAUUGUCUAGGUUGACUGGGUGGCUUGCAGCAAUCUGGAGGCUCUACUCUGGCUGGCAGUUGGCAUAAGCUUACUGCCGUAAACCUCAACAGGGCAUCUUUUCAUAUGGCUUGGAAUUUUCAGUGUGGCAUUUAGAUUCCAAGUGGAUGAAAGAAGAUACUAAAGGUUACAUGUCAUCUCCACAUUCUCUUGAUCUACAGGUCCCUUCUGGAUGCAAAGACAAAAGAAAUUAAUUCCACCACCAUUCCAUGAAAGGAAUGGCAGGCAGAGUGAAGCAAGGAGUACUUUGUGUAGUAUGUGUGGCUUGUUGGUUUCUCUGCACCUUUUGUAGAGCUGCCAGCAGUGCUACGUUGGGGCAGGGCAUCCAGAGGUGGACAUUUGGAAGUGGCUCUGGUUCAUUAGAGCCACUACCAGGAGGAUUAGGGAAGAAUGUACCAUUUUCAGUGGAAAACAAGUGACAGUUAAUGGUUAUGAUACCCUUGGAUUUGCUGCAUCUUUUAUAGUAAGACACCAGCUGCUUAAAAAGGUGUUUUAUUUCAUCCAUUAAUCAGAUAUGAAGAAUGUUUGAAGAGGGGCACUUCGGAAAAUGGAUCAAAGUUUUAUUUUGGUUUUUUUGUUUUGUUUUGUUUUGUUUUUUGGUGGGACUGGGGUUUGUACUCAGGGCUUUGUGUUUGCAAAGCAGGCACUCUACUGGAUCAAACUCUUGAACUCUCAGCAUAGUAUAUGUUUGUAAAUAAACUCAUGCAGUACCAGAAUUCAUGACCAUCUUUGUCACAAGAAUGAUAAACAUAAGUAACGUGUUAUGUAUAAAAGACACUUCAGAAAAAAUAAGAAAUGGCUGAUAUAAUAGUUACUUUUUUAAAUGUAGACAAGAGAUCAGGAUAUACUUAGCUGACAUUCAGUGUCAACAAAGUGGUAAAGUAUAAUGGGCUUAGUUCUUGUUGCCUUAUGGAAGCUUCAAUUUGAACAAUUGUAAAUGCAUAAAAAUCUUACAACAAAUAGGGAAGUCAGGUGAGAUUAUAACACAUGGGUGUGGUAUAGAAAUAAAAAAAGAUGUAUUAAAGAUGUUAGAAAAGACAGCUUGAUGUUCUCCCAAUCCCAGGCUGUACAACUCGGGUGAUUUGCAUGGAGGAGAGUAAAAUGCGCACCAGAUUGCCUUGGAUCUCAUCAGCAGCUGUACAGUAAAAUUCAAUGAUUGGGCAGGUGCCAGUAUGGCUCCACACUCUAAGCCAAUACCUGUACACCCAGCCUCAUCCUGAUGCCAGGUUGGCAUCUGUAAGCUUAGGCUUCAGAGUAGGCUCUGAAGUAGGGUCUAGAGCCCCUGUACUGUGUACCCAUGUGCCAAGCUAGCUUGCUCACAAGAUGAACUAUGUGGUCUUCCCAGAAUCUCUGGAUGAGGUGACUGACAGAGGAAGGGGUUUUUCUGCUGAAAUCUGUAAGACUGAAAUAAGUAGCCAUAUAGGGUCCUAUAUGCUCGGCAUCCUAGCACUUCAAGGUGGAAGACUGGGUAAUGAAGAGUUGGAGGUUAACUUGGACUACAAGAGCAAGACCCUUCCUCAAAAGAAAAAUACUUAAAUGCACAGACACCAACCCAUGACUACACCAAACAAAACAAAUCAGCAGUAGCCAACUAUAAAAAAUAAUUUUAAAAACCCAAGUACUUGAGCUAAAAAUGAUAUGGCUGAACUAAAAAUUUCAGUGACAGACUCAAAAAAUAAAGCAAGCUUAAAGGUCAUUAAAGACUGGAAGAGCACUUGAACUAGGAGUCCAAGGCCAGUCUGGGUAACAGUGAGACUUUUAGUUUAGAAUAAAAAGUGAAGUCUUUUAAAAGUUACGGAAUACCACUGCCAAACAAACACAUGCAUUGCAAGAACAGAGAAAGCAAAAGUUUAUUAAAAUGUGGUUUGGUGUUAAGUACCAUAGCAAACUGGAAAGGAAUUCAUGGUGGAGAGCUUUAAAAACAAGUUUUAUAAGGUGUAACAUUCCUUUUAAGGCAUUUUCAUUGGCCAAAUACCUUCACAUGUACAAAGUUUAUAAAAUGUACUGCUUUUGUAUUCAAGGUUAAAAAAUACAU
Castor canadensis (American beaver) is the source of this 2521-nucleotide non-coding RNA. NCBI's taxonomy places the organism in Eukaryota, Metazoa, Chordata, Mammalia, Rodentia, Castoridae. The record is from RefSeq and is a predicted model, not a curated record.